UGGGGAAUCUUCCGCAAUGGACGAAAGUCUGACGGAGCAACGCCGCGUGAGUGAUGAAGGAUUUCGGUCUGUAAAGCUCUGUUGUUUAUGACGAACGUGCAGUGUGUGAACAAUGCAUUGCAAUGACGGUAGUAAACGAGGAAGCCACGGCUAACUACGUGCCAGCAGCCGCGGUAAUACGUAGGUGGCGAGCGUUGUCCGGAAUUAUUGGGCGUAAAGAGCAUGUAGGCGGCUUAAUAAGUCGAGCGUGAAAAUGCGGGGCUCAACCCCGUAUGGCGCUGGAAACUGUUAGGCUUGAGUGCAGGAGAGGAAAGGGGAAUUCCCAGUGUAGCGGUGAAAUGCGUAGAUAUUGGGAGGAACACCAGUGGCGAAGGCGCCUUUCUGGACUGUGUCUGACGCUGAGAUGCGAAAGCCAGGGUAGCGAACGG
RNAcentral lists this ribosomal RNA (428 nucleotides) under Acidobacteriota bacterium. RNAcentral's name for it is "Acidobacteria bacterium partial 16S ribosomal RNA". It matches the Rfam family "Bacterial small subunit ribosomal RNA", at positions 355 to 775 of the family's 1533-position model. Lineage: Bacteria; Pseudomonadati; Acidobacteriota. The record is from RNAcentral.